RNAcentral lists this ribosomal RNA (439 nucleotides) under uncultured bacterium. RNAcentral describes it as "partial 16S ribosomal RNA". It matches the Rfam family "Bacterial small subunit ribosomal RNA", at positions 339 to 795 of the family's 1533-position model. The record is from RNAcentral.
CUACGGGCGGCAGCAGUGGGGAAUAUUGCACAAUGGAGGAAACUCUGAUGCAGCAACGCCGCGUGGAGGAUGACACUUUUCGGAGCGUAAACUCCUUUUAUAUAGGAAGAAGAUGACGGUACUAUAUGAUUAAGCGCCGGCUAACUCCGUGCCAGCAGCCGCGGUAAUACGGAGGGCGCAAGCGUUACUCGGAAUCACUGGGCGUAAAGAGCGUGUAGGCGGAUUAAAAAGUCAGAAGUGAAAUCCUAUAGCUUAACUAUAGAACUGCUUCUGAAACUCUUAAUCUAGAAUAUGGGAGAGGUAGAUGGAAUUUCUGGUGUAGGGGUAAAAUCCGUAGAGAUCAGAAGGAAUACCGAUUGCGAAGGCGAUCUACUAGAACAUUAUUGACGCUGAGACGCGAAAGCGUGGGGAGCGAACAGGAUUAGAUACCCUCGUAGUC